Molecule: non-coding RNA, 281 nt
Organism: Ciona intestinalis (vase tunicate)
Lineage: Eukaryota; Metazoa; Chordata; Ascidiacea; Phlebobranchia; Cionidae
Source: RefSeq, a predicted model, not a curated record
CAUGAAAUUUCCCGCCACAUUCUAACAUGUCAAUCCUGUACUCGGCAUGACUGGCAAGUUUGUUGUACAUCGCAGCAGCUGUACGAAACAAGUGGAGUGGGGAAAGACGGGACACUAAAGCACAAAAUAAAACACGAGGAAUUAUUGAGCGAUUCGUACAACAAAUUAGGAAAAAAAUUAAUCAAAAGACCAACCCAGUUUCAACUGAAUAGCCAGCACUGCACUUGUUACAGAUGGCAGAAUUGUUGCUAUAGCCGUUUUUUGAGCAGUUGGUAAGACAU